UUUAUCUAACUUGGUCACCAAGUCAAUAAAUCAAAUUAAUUAAAAAUUCUUAGAUAUUUUUCUCCUCCCACAUCCAAACCGCCACACUCCUCACCCCUGAAUCUCUCCCAUAUCUUUAACUACUCUCCCUUAAUAUUAAAUCUUCAAUCCAUUUCUUUCUUCUGAUCGGUUUCCGCAGCAAGAAAAUUUAAGAAACCGAGAGCUCAAUCAAUUGAAUUAUAGAAACUGAAUCUGCAAAAUCCAGUGGGCUACUCCUUUCGGUCCUACAAUUUCACAACCAAUAUCGAGUUAUCGAGGGAAUUGUUCCAUGAGACUCUAAUCCGGAAAGAGGAAAUACUCAAGUGCGACACCUUUAAGCGAUCAAGGUUGAGCAGCGAAGUGGUGGAGGAAGUGCUAUUGAGACAAGGCAUUUAAUUCAGUCAGAU
Salvia splendens (bonfire salvia) is the source of this 425-nucleotide long non-coding RNA. RefSeq lists it as uncharacterized. The record is from RefSeq and is a predicted model, not a curated record. The transcript has 3 exons. NCBI's taxonomy places the organism in Eukaryota, Viridiplantae, Streptophyta, Magnoliopsida, Lamiales, Lamiaceae.